RNAcentral lists this transfer RNA (72 nucleotides) under Chloroflexota bacterium. Its description in RNAcentral is "Chloroflexi bacterium (hot springs metagenome) tRNA-Gln". It matches the Rfam family "tRNA". From Rfam's summary of the family: Transfer RNA (tRNA) molecules are approximately 80 nucleotides in length. Their secondary structure includes four short double-helical elements and three loops (D, anti-codon, and T loops). Further hydrogen bonds mediate the characteristic L-shaped molecular structure. tRNAs have two regions of fundamental functional importance: the anti-codon, which is responsible for specific mRNA codon recognition, and the 3' end, to which the tRNAs corresponding amino acid is attached (by aminoacyl-tRNA synthetases). tRNAs cope with the degeneracy of the genetic code in two manners: having more than one tRNA (with a specific anti-codon) for a particular amino acid; and 'wobble' base-pairing, i.e. permitting non-standard base-pairing at the 3rd anti-codon position. RNAcentral also lists the same sequence under 1 other name. Lineage: Bacteria; Bacillati; Chloroflexota. The record is from RNAcentral.
UCGGGGGUCGUCUAAUGGGCAGGACAAGGGACUUUGGAUCCCUCGGUCCAGGUUCGAAUCCUGGCCCCCGAA